Non-coding RNA from Peromyscus maniculatus bairdii (prairie deer mouse), 3771 nucleotides. The record is from RefSeq and is a predicted model, not a curated record. Lineage: Eukaryota; Metazoa; Chordata; Mammalia; Rodentia; Cricetidae.
GGAUCACAGGCAUGCACCAUCACACUCAGCUUCAUGGAUAUUUCAUCUCUUAGAACUGGCUUGCCUCACAACUGUUAGAAGAUUGACAGGCAAUUCUGGGCUUGUUGAUGUCCACUGUUCAAUCCAUUUGGGCUUUAGUGUUCAUUGUCAGUUAUUUUUCAUUAGGACCAGGUGUUUGAGACAAAGAAUCAUGCCACUCUUAAUGAGCAAAUUUUUUUACUUUGUCUAGAGCAAAGUCCUUCACCAUGGAGUGCUGUCAGUGCCAUGGUAACCACAGAUGUACAGACCUUGACUUGACUUUGUGAGUUGAGAGGCCAGAGACACCCCCUCCUUUGCCCAGUGUCAAAGAGGACAGCCAAGGCAGGCUCUGAAUCUCCUAAAGUGUGCUAGCCGCUGGAAACCCUCAGAUGCCUUAUUAUAAGAAGAUAGCAGUACUAGUAUGCUGUGAGGAUGAAACUAGAUGAUGUUUAUCAGUGUGUAGUACAGCAUCUGGCACAUAGCAAUGAGCUCUGGCCAUCAUUUGUGAUUAAGGCUAUUUUUUAUUUCAUUUUAGGACGCUUCCUUAUAUUAAUAUAAUAGAGGAUUCUAAGACUUUGGUCAUCUACACAAUCCCUACUCCUUAUUUAUUCUUAAGCAAGGUCAGUUCAGAGAAGUUCUUACUCCCUCCUGAGCAGAUGAGGAGGAACCCUGGAGAUUCUGAUGGCCUCUGCCUCCAUCCACACCCAACCACAACCAAGAGACAAGAGCUGACCUUAUCCAUAGGUCAAGCCCAGAUGGUUUACUAUUUUAUGUAGAAAAUGUCAGCUGAUCCUUCCUGGUGAGCGACUUUAUCCUUGAGAAUAUUAUGGGACUGUGCUAAAAAAGCAUUCUCCCUUCACAGGACCAUCAGUCUCUGGGGAACAGUGUGGGAGAUGGUCCUUUAUUAUUUUCAUUUUUUUGUGUGAUAUAUGAGGCUACUUGGAUGGUUUUCUCUGCUACAUAAAAGUAGCUCAUGUGAAUAUAUAUAUGUAUAGAUAUAUAGAUAGACAGACAGAUAGAUAGAUAGAUAGAUAGAUAGAUAGAUAGAUAGACAGACAGAUAGAUUUGUAUAUCUUUUUCUUCUUGCUGCAGCUAAAGUGCUUAGGGGUUGCUUUUGCUGCAGGUGUGUGCCUAGUGUGAGCAUAUUCUCUGUGUGUGUUCCUACAUUAAGGGACAACUUAACUCUUUCUGCUUUUUGGCUUCACUAACACUGCUUAGUAUCACAGACUCCAAGGGGUAGUAGACAUCUGGAGGACGGAACUCUGCGAUGUCCCUAGGGAGCUUUACUCUGGUCGGUUCUUGCACUUGCUAACGAUGCCUGAGUCCUGAGAGCAAACCCAUUCACAGAAAGCUGUCCAGCCCUGUUCCAUCUGAUCGUGUUUUACUUUACAACGUUAGCUUUGGAGAAGUGUCUGCCUCCCACGGUGUACCUAAUUGCCUGUCAGCAGCCCAGCAUGGCAUUCUAGAUGCACGGCCAGUAGUUCUAAGUGGAGACAGGCACUUCCAGGAAGGCACUGGUGGGAUUCCUUUCUGAAAAUAAAUAUCAUUCUUCUCACUAUUUACUAUACUUUUGAUUUAAUUCAGACUGAUGUCUAAUUCAAGAGGAAAUUGUUAGUUGCUUUCAAAGUUGCUGAUGAAAAGAUAUUUCCUGAGUCUACUUCCUAGUGAGUUAGUCAGGCAGAACUAUUCAUGUGUUGAGGUGUCAGGACACGGCUCAUCCUGUGUGGGGUGAGCACCAGGAGAGCUUCUGUGUAUUACAGUAGCUUGUUGAUGGAUCUGGGUGCUGAAUGCAUGGAAAGUUCAUCUUAUGAAAGUUCAUCAAGUUAUAUAUGAGUGAUUUGUGUACUUUACUAUUAAGCAUGUCAUGCUUUAUUAAAAAGUUUACUUUUUGUGUUAUAUCCAGAUAAUGGAAUAUUAUUCUGCAUUAAAAAAUUGAGCUUCAUGUAAUGAAUACACAUUUUAAGAAGUCCCUAAAUGAAUAUUACUAUGUGAAAUAAAGCAUUCUGAAAAGGCUUCGCGAACUAGGAUUCCAACCAUAUGACCUAGAAGAAGCAAACCCAUGGAGACCAUCAAAAGCAUCAAUGACUGUUAGGGCUUAGUCAGAAGGGAAGGAUAAAGUGCCCAACUACUGAGGACCCUCAGCAUGGUGAAACUAUUCUAUAGGAGGCUACAGUGAUUUCCCCAAGUCCACGGAACAUAGAACGCCAAGAAUGAACCCCAGUGUCAUCUAUGGACUCUGUGUGAUAGAGGCAGAUCAAUUUAGAUUAACCUUUGGCAGUGCAUGGGCUAAACUGGCUGGGAAUAUUGAUAAUAGGGGUGUCUCUGUGUGUGCACAGGGAGGAAGUACUGGAGGCACAUGGGACAUCUCUGUACUUCUAGCCUAAAUGUUCUAUGAACCCAAGAUUGCUCUGAAGAAUAAGGUCAAUUUCAAGGAAAAUGACAUACAUAUUUUGUUAGUCAGCUCUCUGUCACUCUAUCAGUUAUUAGUUGUUGUUUUUUUUUGUUGCUAUGACAUCAUAGUUGACCAAAGCAACUGAAGGAAGGAAGGUUUAUUCUGGACAAAUAUGGCAGAGCAAGUGUGGCAUUGAGAAUGGCUUUGGUUGUGGUGGCAGAAGUAUGGGGUGGCUGGUCAUAUUGUAUCCAUACUUAGGAAGCAGGAGAGAUGGAUGAGGACACUCACUUGCUUCCUCCUUUUUAUUCAGUUGGGUCCCCCAUCCCAUGACAUGGUGACACCUACAUUCAGGGUGUAUCUCCUCAUCUCAGUUAAAUCUCUGUGGAAACAUAUCAGACAUGCCCAAUUACCCUGUCUUUGUGGUGAUUUCAAAUUGGAUCAAGGUAGCCACAAGUUUAACUAUCACAGCUACUUUAACCAAACCCUGACGUAAUCACCUUAUAAAGGCAGGUUUAUUUAUUUUGUUAUUCAGCUCUCUGUCACCGUUUUGGCUCACCAUUUUGGAGGGGUUGGCGCAUCCUCUGUUGGCCCCAAGACCUUGGGACAAACACUGCGUCAUGACAGGAAAGUAAGAGGAAGAGCUACCAGGGACAUUGCUGGAAGCAGACGGCCAGAGGUAGGACCUCAGCUUGAAGAGUAAUUGAUCUCUGUGCUGGAGAGCAGGAUGUUUGGCCAAAGGUGGAGUUGCCAGAUGUAUUGAGAAUUAAGGAGUCCUCACUCCCCUAUUCAGGUCUGUUCAACAGGUCCAGUGGAACCCGACACAUGGAAGGUCAUUCCACAAGUCAUCCGUGCUGAAAGGCCAUGAAAAGGAGAGCAGGUGUGACAUGUGAGAGGCUAGAGGAGACGGGAGGCAUUCCUCUGAUUCUCCAGCAGCCUGUGGCCUAUGUGACAUGAGGAUGACUGGCCAGAAAGACCCAGGCGAAAGGACUUGCUCAAAGAUGCCCACGAGGACAGGCAGUGGCUAGACCCGAACCCUUUCUCCUGAAGCUGAAAUGAGCAUGCAUGACUGUAACCACCCCGCAGUCCUGCUGGGCUGUAAUAUGAAGAGGCUGCUUGGAGCUCUACCCAGGGUGCUUCAAAACCAUCCAUUAUUCUUCAGAGCCACAGAUGUCAUCACAUUUUCCUUGGCGCUUUGAACCGGUACAAAACCUGAGGCCGCAGAAAGCCAUUAUCAGCAAUGUUCCAAAGUGCGGGAGACCAGAGUUUUUGAUCUCUGUUUCCCUGAGGCCUUUAAACAAACGACAAGGACGAAGAACAGUUAUUAAAAUAAAAAUGCAGUGUUCAGGAAUCUGUGCUGAUAA